Molecule: non-coding RNA, 74 nt
Filed under: Candidatus Epulonipiscium sp.
Lineage: Bacteria; Bacillati; Bacillota; Clostridia; Lachnospirales; Lachnospiraceae
Description: Epulopiscium sp. Glycine sequence
Rfam family: Glycine riboswitch aptamer
About the family: This family represents the bacterial glycine riboswitch. Glycine riboswitches usually consist of two metabolite-binding aptamers domains with similar structures in tandem.
Source: RNAcentral
AUGAUAUUUGCUGGAGAAAGCAUAUGCUUACCGAUGGGGUAAUUCUCUCAGGUCAAAAGGACAGCAAAUGGAUG